This 265-nucleotide ribosomal RNA is filed under the name uncultured bacterium. RNAcentral's name for it is "partial 16S ribosomal RNA". It matches the Rfam family "Bacterial small subunit ribosomal RNA", at positions 793 to 1055 of the family's 1533-position model. The record is from RNAcentral.
GUCCACGCCGUAAACGAUGGGCACUAGGCGUCGGGGGGAGCGACCCUCCCGGUGCCGUCGCUAACGCUGUAAGUGCCCCGCAUGGGGAGUACGGCCGCAAGGCUGAAACUCAAAGGAAUUGACGGGGGCCCGCACAAGCGGUGGAGCAUGUGGUUUAAUUCGAAGCAACGCGAAGAACCUUACCUGGGCUUGACAUGCAUGAGUAAGCAGGUGGAAACACCGGGCCUCCUUCGGGACUCAUGCACAGGUGCUGCAUGGCUGUCGU